CAGCCUACGGGAGGCAGCAGUGAGGAAUAUUGGUCAAUGGGCGGAAGCCUGAACCAGCCAAGUCGCGUGAGGGAAUAAGGCCCUACGGGUCGUAAACCUCUUUUGCCGGGGAGCAAGGGCGGGGACGUGUCCCGGCCCGGAGAGUACCCGGAGAAAAAGCAUCGGCUAACUCCGUGCCAGCAGCCGCGGUAAUACGGAGGAUGCGAGCGUUAUCCGGAUUCACUGGGUGUAAAGGGAGCGUAGACGGCCAUGCAAGCCAGGGGGGAAAGCCCGGGGCCCAACCC
This 284-nucleotide ribosomal RNA is filed under the name uncultured bacterium. RNAcentral's name for it is "partial 16S ribosomal RNA". It matches the Rfam family "Bacterial small subunit ribosomal RNA", at positions 332 to 615 of the family's 1533-position model. The record is from RNAcentral.